ACUAUCAUUAACUGAAUCCAUAGGUUAAUGAGGCGAACCGGGGGAACUGAAACAUCUAAGUACCCCGAGGAAAAGAAAUCAACCGAGAUUCCCCCAGUAGCGGCGAGCGAACGGGGAGGAGCCCAGAGCCUGAAUCAGCAUGUGUGUUAGUGGAAGCGUCUGGAAAGGCGCGCGAUACAGGGUGACAGCCCCGUACACAAAAGCGCAUGUGCUGUGAGCUCGAUGAGUAGGGCGGGACACGUGGUAUCCUGUCUGAAUAUGGGGGGACCAUCCUCCAAGGCUAAAUACUCCUGACUGACCGAUAGUGAACCAGUACCGUGAGGGAAAGGCGAAAAGAACCCCGGCGAGGGGAGUGAAAAAGAACCUGAAACCGUGUACGUACAAGCAGUGGGAGCACAGGUUUACCUG
RNAcentral lists this ribosomal RNA (408 nucleotides) under Salmonella enterica subsp. enterica serovar Muenchen. RNAcentral's name for it is "partial 23S ribosomal RNA". It matches the Rfam family "Bacterial large subunit ribosomal RNA", at positions 147 to 591 of the family's 2925-position model. Lineage: Bacteria; Pseudomonadati; Pseudomonadota; Gammaproteobacteria; Enterobacterales; Enterobacteriaceae. RNAcentral also lists the same sequence under 1 other name. The record is from RNAcentral.